UUCUGCGCAGUCUCCUCAGUCACCCUGGCGAGCGGCCUGCCUUCAAAUGGCUCUGCUGGGGCCUGACCCACCACUCUGCAUGUGAUCCGUGCUCGUAUUUAAGAGGAAAAUCACAGGCCUCGGGAGAUGGUGCAGCUGACAAAGUACCUGCCAGGCAAUCACAGAACCUGAGUUCAAAAAGCCAGCGCCCACAUAAGAAGCCAGAACGGACCUGUCACCCCAGCUGGGGACAGGGAUGGCUGGCGCAGACAAAAUCCCAAGAAAACAUCAAAUGGCAAGCAGCAGAGGGAGAGCAAAGCCUUUGUGGUGUUCCUGUUUGAGACUUAAGGGAGCCGCCAGGAGGCCUGAGCAGAGCCGCAGAACACAGGUGAAGGUCUACAUUUGAUUCUCAGGACACCUGUAUCCUGUCUCAGCCGCUCACAGGCUGUGUGACCUGAAGCAAGUUCCUUCGCCCCUCUGAACACCCUUAGGAAAAAGGAAUGUCCUCUCAUAUGUCCCAGCGCUCUGAUGACUGGAAACAGCUGCUGGCUCACUUGUUCGGGGCAUACUAAGUUUCCAGCUGGGGACCCCAGACCUGAUCUUGGUCUGUCCCAGCCCUGUCUACAAGCAAUGCUAUUGGAUAAGUUGACUUCCAUCACUAGUAAAGAUACCUCGGAUGACUGUGUCAACUCACUAGGAUCUAGUAUCUCCAGGACUCUGGCAAACCUCCAGAUACACCUGUAAGUUGUUAUCUAGAUUAAGGCUAGGCUCUGAGAAUGUCCGUGGGGAUCAUCUUAUUUUGAGACUGGCGAGACC
This is a long non-coding RNA of Chionomys nivalis (European snow vole), 795 nucleotides long. RefSeq lists it as uncharacterized. The record is from RefSeq and is a predicted model, not a curated record. NCBI's taxonomy places the organism in Eukaryota, Metazoa, Chordata, Mammalia, Rodentia, Cricetidae. The transcript has 3 exons.